AUUGAACGCUGGCGGCAUGCCUUACACAUGCAAGUCGAACGGUAACGGGCCUUCGGGUGCCGACGAGUGGCGAACGGGUGAGUAAUGCAUCGGAACGUACCUUUCAGUGGGGGAUAACGUAGCGAAAGUUACGCUAAUACCGCAUAUUCUGUGAGCAGGAAAGCAGGGGAUCGCAAGACCUUGCGCUGAUUGAGCGGCCGAUGUCAGAUUAGCUAGUUGGUGAGGUAAAGGCUCACCAAGGCGACGAUCUGUAGCGGGUCUGAGAGGAUGAUCCGCCACACUAGAACUGAGACACGGUCCAGACUCCUACGGGAGGCAGCAGUGGGGAAUUUUGGACAAUGGGGGCAACCCUGAUCCAGCCAUGCCGCGUGAGUGAAGAAGGCCUUCGGGUUGUAAAGCUCUUUCGGCCGGGAAGAAAUCGUAUGGGUUAAUACCCUGUGCGGAUGACGGUACCGGCAUAAGAAGCACCGGCUAACUACGUGCCAGCCGCCGCCGUAA
This 498-nucleotide ribosomal RNA is filed under the name uncultured bacterium. RNAcentral's name for it is "partial 16S ribosomal RNA". It matches the Rfam family "Bacterial small subunit ribosomal RNA", at positions 30 to 523 of the family's 1533-position model. The record is from RNAcentral.